AUACGUAGGUGGCAAGGCGUUAUCCGGAUUUAUUGGGCGUAAAGCGAGCGCAGGCGGUUUUUUAAGUCUGAUGUGAAAGCCUUCGGCUCAACCGAAGAAGUGCAUCGGAAACUGGGAAACUUGAGUGCAGAAGAGGACAGUGGAACUCCAUGUGUAGCGGUGGAAUGCGUAGAUAUAUGGAAGAACACCAGUGGCGAAGGCGGCUGUCUAGUCUGUAACUGACGCUGAGGCUCGAAAGUAUGGGUAGC
RNAcentral lists this ribosomal RNA (248 nucleotides) under uncultured bacterium. Its description in RNAcentral is "partial 16S ribosomal RNA". It matches the Rfam family "Bacterial small subunit ribosomal RNA", at positions 523 to 769 of the family's 1533-position model. The record is from RNAcentral.